RNAcentral lists this ribosomal RNA (254 nucleotides) under uncultured bacterium. Its description in RNAcentral is "partial 16S ribosomal RNA". It matches the Rfam family "Bacterial small subunit ribosomal RNA", at positions 524 to 776 of the family's 1533-position model. The record is from RNAcentral.
UACGUAGGGUGCAAGCGUUAUCCGGAAUUAUUGGGCGUAAAGAGCUCGUAGGCGGUUUGUCGCGUCUGCUGUGAAAACUGGAGGCUCAACCUCCAGCCUGCAGUGGGUACGGGCAGACUAGAGUGCGGUAGGGGAGGAUUGGAAUUCCUGGUGUAGCGGUGGAAUGCGCAGAUAUCAGGAGGAACACCGAUGGCGAAGGCAGAUCUCUGGGCCGUAACUGACGCUGAGGAGCGAAAGCAUGGGGAGCGAACAGG